RNAcentral lists this ribosomal RNA (464 nucleotides) under uncultured bacterium. Its description in RNAcentral is "partial 16S ribosomal RNA". It matches the Rfam family "Bacterial small subunit ribosomal RNA", at positions 28 to 507 of the family's 1533-position model. The record is from RNAcentral.
GACGAACGCUGGCGGCGUGCCUAACACAUGCAAGUCGAGCGAAUGAAGUUCCUUCGGGACUGGAUUUAGCGGCGGACGGGUGAGUAACACGUGGGCAACCUGCCUCAUAGAGGGGAAUAGCCUUCCGAAAGGGAGAUUAAUACCGCAUAAGAUUGUAGUAUCGCAUGAUACAGCAAUUAAAGGAGCAAUCCGCUAUGAGAUGGGCCCGCGGCGCAUUAGCUAGUUGGUGAGGUAACGGCUCACCAAGGCGACGAUGCGUAGCCGACCUGAGAGGGUGAUCGGCCACAUUGGGACUGAGACACGGCCCAGACUCCUACGGGAGGCAGCAGUGGGGAAUAUUGCACAAUGGGGGAAACCCUGAUGCAGCAACGCCGCGUGAGUGAUGACGGCCUUCGGGUUGUAAAGCUCUGUCUUCAGGGACGAUAAUGACGGUACCUGAGGAGGAAGCCACGGCUAACUACGUG